This 497-nucleotide ribosomal RNA is filed under the name uncultured bacterium. Its description in RNAcentral is "partial 16S ribosomal RNA". It matches the Rfam family "Bacterial small subunit ribosomal RNA", at positions 38 to 507 of the family's 1533-position model. The record is from RNAcentral.
GGGGGGGGGGGGGGGGGGGGGUGGGGGGGGGGGGGGGGGGGGGGAGGGGAGGAGGUUGCGCCUGUGACGGUAGCGGGGGGCGGGUGGGUACGCCGUGGGUAACCUGGCUAUAAGACUGGGAUAACUUCGGGAAACCGGAGCGAGUGCCGGAUCAUAUAGUGAACCGCAUGGUUCAAUAGUGAAAUGCGGUUUUGCUGGUCCUUCGAGCUAGCUCCGCGCCGCAUUAGAUAGUUGGUAAGGUAACGGCUUACCAAGGCAACGAUGCAUAGCCGACCUGAGAGGGUGAUCGGCCACACUGGAAAUGAGACACGGUCCAGACUCCUACGGGAGGCAGCAGUAGGGAAUCUUCCGCAAUGGGCGAAAGCUUGACGGAGCAACGCCGCGUGAGUGAUGAAGGUCUGCGGAUCGUAAAACUCUGUUAUUAGGGAAGAACAAAUGUGUAAGUAACUAUGCACGUCUUGACGGUACCUAAUCAGAAAGCCACGGCUAACUACGUG